RNAcentral lists this long non-coding RNA (730 nucleotides) under Pongo abelii (Sumatran orangutan). RNAcentral's name for it is "lincRNA". Lineage: Eukaryota; Metazoa; Chordata; Mammalia; Primates; Hominidae. The record is from RNAcentral.
GCCCAGUCGCCAGGGAGAGUGAAUACAGCUAGGGACGUGAAAGAACGGGGAAGAUAACUGAAGGGUGGUUUGAGAAACCCACCAGGCCAACUGGGAAUUAGAAUUGAUUCAAAACUCUGUUGAUCGCCUGACCUCCAUAAGCUCCUACUCUGCUGCAGUUAGUUGAGUGCUGCCACUUAAAUCCUGCAGUCCCGAGAUCCGGUUAUAACCAAUGCAUUUAGAUUUUUCAUUUCGGUGGCAACAAUCUUCAUCGUAAGUUCUGUCCUACAGAGAAGUGUGGUGAUCAAGCUCUUCGGAGAUACUGGGACUCCUCUCACAAAUAUGCUUCUUCUUAGAGACAAGGCCUCACUCCAUUGCCCCUAGGCCAGGCCUGGUGAGUGACAGCAGCCCUGGUGCCCCAGCCUGCUAGGGCAACGUGUCACCCAGAGGCUUCGAGGCCCUCCUCACCAUGGUACCCACCUCCUCGAAGCUGCCUCCCAAAGCCCUCUAGCUGCUGCUGCAGCCGCAACAAGUGCCACCACCAGGGGCCUUCCAGCUGCCAGUGCAGGCUUUCCAGAGCUGGGGAUUGGGGAACCUGCAGUCAUCGCCUCAGCAACUCUGGUGGCAGCCAGGCCAGCCAGGGCAGUGAUGAUGACUCUGUAAUGAAAAGUGGGAUGACAGCUCCACACUGGUGGAUGAGUUGAGAACACCAGGCAGAGGCAUGUACCUGGUCUUUGAAGGUUCAGUGGAC